Long non-coding RNA from Oreochromis aureus, 980 nucleotides. RefSeq lists it as uncharacterized. NCBI's taxonomy places the organism in Eukaryota, Metazoa, Chordata, Actinopteri, Cichliformes, Cichlidae. The record is from RefSeq and is a predicted model, not a curated record. The transcript is spliced from 3 exons.
CGGGAAUAUAAGCUCAGCGCGUGCAACCACUCUUCGGUAGAUCGUCAGCUCACUUACUUAGCACCUGGACGCUUCGUUGCUCAGUUUGCCGUCUUGUUGUGGUGGGACGCUGGACUGCCUGCUGCUUCAUUGGACUCACUCACCUGCCUGCCCCCUCUGUGGAACACAGGUUGUUUGUUUGGACUUUAUUGGGAUUUUUUCCAGACCGACUCCGCCCUCUACGCGUGGUCUCCGCUAUUUGAAAAUACUUUGAGGACAUAACCUUCCCAGAUCCACGACAGCCCCCAAGGCUCCCUCACGGAUUCCCUCACGGCUUUUGAAUAUCUGAUAGUGACUGUUUGACUCAUGCCAUGCCUUCUCUAGUUGAUUGCUUACACUGUGCCUUAUUAGUUUUUGUUAAUGAGGCAUUCAAUGUAAAAUAGGAAUUCUGAGUUGUGCCUCACUUCUAGUUCUCUUGAAUGCUUUCAUAGCUAGGAUAAGGUUCGUUUCUGCCUUCCUGAAUUAGCGUUAAAGGGUUAAUCAUAUUAGUCUGGCGUUUUCCUAGUUUCCUUGCCCUCCUUAGUUGCACUCGUCGCCAGGUUUUCCUUAAUUUCUUCUGAUUUGUUACCUUGUGUAAAUAAACGCUGUUGUCGCAUUUUCACUCCUCACCUCCGGGUGGUAUCUGCACUUUGGUCCACACCUUGUUUACAGGCCUGCCGGCCGUGACACAUUCACAGCAGAAGCAUCAGUGUGAAUAACAAAGGAAAAAGACUCGUGUGUUAUGAGAAUUGCUAAGAAGUAUGAUCACCUGUAUUUGAUGUUGUUUUUUUCUAACAUGUAUCCUUUAUGGCAGCACAGUGUUUGAGUAAUGGAUUUUAGAUAAUAAACACACCUGAUGCAGCAAAUGUUCUGUUGAAAGUAGAAAACAUUAGAGACCAAAUAGACUUGUUUUAUUUUCUCAUUGAAAGUUGAGGCGAUUUUAAUAAGUUUAUAGCUCAGAG